RNAcentral lists this ribosomal RNA (516 nucleotides) under uncultured Lysinibacillus sp. RNAcentral's name for it is "partial 16S ribosomal RNA". Lineage: Bacteria; Bacillati; Bacillota; Bacilli; Caryophanales; Bacillaceae. The record is from RNAcentral.
CGCGUAGUUAGCCGUGGCUUUCUAAUAAGGUACCGUCAAGGUACAGCCAGUUACUACUGUACUUGUUCUUCCCUUACAACAGAGUUUUACGAUCCGAAAACCUUCUUCACUCACGCGGCGUUGCUCCAUCAGGCUUUCGCCCAUUGUGGAAGAUUCCCUACUGCUGCCUCCCGUAGGAGUCUGGGCCGUGUCUCAGUCCCAGUGUGGCCGGUCGCCCUCUCAGGUCGGCUACGCAUCGUCGCCUUGGUGAGCCGUUACCUCACCAACUAGCUAAUGCGCCGCGGGCCCAUCCUAUAGCGACAGCCGAAACCGUCUUUCAGUCUUUCACCAUGAAGUAAAGAGGUUAUUCGGUAUUAGCCCCGGUUUCCCGGAGUUAUCCCAAACUAUAGGGUAGGUUGCCCACGUGUUACUCACCCGUCCGCCGCUAACGUCAAAGGAGCAAGCUCCUUUCUGUUCGCUCGACUUGCAUGUAUUAGGCACGCCGCCAGCGUUCGUCCUGAGCCAGGAUCAAACUCU